UAUUCAGCACGUCCACGAUAUGGAGGGCGAACUGCCUGAGCAGAUUAUCGAUCCGAAGUUCUGUGGCAUGGAUACCUCGUCUGUCCACAAAUGUUUAUCCAUGCUUAUCCUCGCAUCUCACCCAAUCUGCAGCACGUCCCCGGAUAGAAGAGAAACUCUCGCUAGAGUUCUUGAUCUGGACUGCUACGGGAUAGACAUCACAUCUAGCCCGUAAGGUUGAUGUCGUCCUAGCAGGUUGCGAUUCAAUAAUGGAAAAGGCCUACUUAGAUGUAAUGACAGAGAGAAGCAACAACGAGUUUGACAAUGAGCAGCUUGUGAACAAGUAGAAGAACACAAUAUUUCGCAAUAAAAUUAGGAUGUCAACGA
Hordeum vulgare subsp. vulgare (domesticated barley) is the source of this 366-nucleotide long non-coding RNA. RefSeq lists it as uncharacterized. Lineage: Eukaryota; Viridiplantae; Streptophyta; Magnoliopsida; Poales; Poaceae. The record is from RefSeq and is a predicted model, not a curated record. The transcript is spliced from 2 exons.